Molecule: ribosomal RNA, 345 nt
Filed under: uncultured Flavobacteriaceae bacterium
Lineage: Bacteria; Pseudomonadati; Bacteroidota; Flavobacteriia; Flavobacteriales; Flavobacteriaceae
Description: bacterial LSU rRNA
Rfam family: Bacterial large subunit ribosomal RNA
Source: RNAcentral
AAUAGGCUAAUUAAGAGCGUAAGGGGAAUGCCUUGGCUCUCAGAGGCGAAGAAGGACGUGAUAAACUGCGAAAAGUUGCGGGGAGUGGCACAUACAUUUUGAUCCGCAAAUGUCCGAAUGGGGAAACCCGGUUAUUUGAAGAAUAAUCAUCCAUUUAUGGAAGCUAACCCGGAGAACUGAAACAUCUAAGCACCCGGAGGAAAAGAAAACAAUAGUGAUUCCGCUAGUAGUGGCGAGCGAACGCGGAAUAGCCCAAACCUAAAUUGUUUCGGCAAUUUAGGGGUUGUAGGACCACGAUAUUUGUUGCUCAAUGAAUUAGAAUCCGUUGGAAAUCGGAACCAUAGA